GGGAAUGUGGCUCAGUGGUAGAGUGCUUGCCUACCAUGCAUGAAGCCCUGGACUCAAUUCCUCAGUUCCA
This 70-nucleotide transfer RNA is filed under the name Dipodomys ordii (Ord's kangaroo rat). It matches the Rfam family "tRNA". From Rfam's summary of the family: Transfer RNA (tRNA) molecules are approximately 80 nucleotides in length. Lineage: Eukaryota; Metazoa; Chordata; Mammalia; Rodentia; Heteromyidae. The record is from Rfam by way of RNAcentral.